AAAACUGGUAAAAUGUGAUGUACCUAGUAGUAUUAGUAAUUAAUACGAGAUUAACAAAGUUAAUUAAAAUUCGAAGUAGAUAUUGAUUAUGACAGUAUUUGCUAAUGUCUUGACCAAGUCACGUGCCAGCAGUCGCGGUAAUACGUGGAAGAUUAGUGUUAUUCAUCUUUAAUUGGUUUAAAGGGUACCUAGACGGUUAAUCAAACACAAAUAUGUAUUAAUUAACUAGAGUUUAAUAUAAGAAAGAUUGAGUACGGUGAGUGUAGAGAUAAAAUUUUGUGAUACCACCUAGGAACUGGUAAAGGCGAAGGCAACUUUCUAUGUAAAAACUGACGUUGAGGGACGAAGGCUUGUAUUAAAUAACAGGAUUAGAUACCCUAGUAUUGUGAGCAGACAAUGAUGAGUGUCAUAUGCAAUAAAUUUUUUGUGUAUAAAUGAAAGUGUAAGCAUUCCACCUCAAGAGUAACGUGGCAACACGGGAAUUGAAAUCAUUAGACCGCUUYUGAAACUCGUAGUGAAGUAUGUUGUUUAAUUUGAUGAUCCGCAAAAAACCUUACCACAAUUUGAAUUACUACAAAACUGCAUUUUUUUUUUGCAUGUUGUAGCAACAAGCGUUGCACGGCUGUCUUCAGUCAAUGUUGUGAAACUGUGGUUAGAUCCAUAUAAUUGACGUAAACCCUUACUUUAUUUAUUAUAAAGUAGUUCGCCGCUAUAU
Molecule: ribosomal RNA, 715 nt
Filed under: Chapsa phlyctidioides
Lineage: Eukaryota; Fungi; Ascomycota; Lecanoromycetes; Ostropales; Graphidaceae
Description: SSU rRNA
Rfam family: Bacterial small subunit ribosomal RNA
Source: RNAcentral